AUUGAACGCUGGCGGCAUGCUUUACACAUGCAAGUCGAACGGCAGCGCGGGCUUCGGCCUGGCGGCGAGUGGCGAACGGGUGAGUAAUGCAUCGGAACGUGCCCAGUAGUGGGGGAUAGCCCGGCGAAAGCCGGAUUAAUACCGCAUACGACCUGAGGGUGAAAGCGGGGGACCGAAAGGCCUCGCGCUAUUGGAGCGGCCGAUGUGGGAUUAGCUAGUUGGUGGGGUAAAGGCUUACCAAGGCGACGAUCCGUAGCUGGUCUGAGAGGACGAGCAGCCACACUGGAGCUGAGACACGGCCCAGACUCCUACGGGAGGCCGCAGUGGGGAAUUUUGGACAAUGGGGGCAACCCUGAUCCAGCCAUGCCGCGUGCGGGAAGAAGGCCUUCGGGUUGUAAACCGCUUUUGUUCGGGAAGAAAUCCUCUGGGCUAAUACCCCGGGGGGAUGACGGUACCGGAAGAAUAAGCACCGGCUAACUACGUG
Molecule: ribosomal RNA, 484 nt
Filed under: uncultured bacterium
Lineage: Bacteria
Description: partial 16S ribosomal RNA
Rfam family: Bacterial small subunit ribosomal RNA
Source: RNAcentral